RNAcentral lists this ribosomal RNA (458 nucleotides) under uncultured bacterium. RNAcentral describes it as "partial 16S ribosomal RNA". It matches the Rfam family "Bacterial small subunit ribosomal RNA", at positions 338 to 795 of the family's 1533-position model. The record is from RNAcentral.
ACUACGGGUGGCAGCAGUGAGGAAUAUUGGUCAAUGGGCGAGAGCCUGAACCAGCCAAGUCGCGUGAGGGAGUACUGCCCUAUGGGUUGUAACCCUCUUUUGUCGGGGAGCAAAAGCCGGACGUGUCCGGCUGUGAGAGUACCCGAAGAAAAAGCAUCGGCUAACUCCGUGCCAGCAGCCGCGGUAAUACGGAGGAUUCGAGCGUUAUCCGGAUUGUUUGGGUUUAAAGGGGGCGCAGGCGGAGUUUCAAGUCAGCGGUCAAAUCGUGGGGGUAAACCCCAGCCAGCCGUUGAAACUGGGGGUCAAGAGUGUGCGAGAGGUAUGCGGAAUGCGUGGUGUAGCGGUGAAAUGCAUAGAUAUCACGCAGAACACCGAUUGAGAAGGCAGCAUACCGGUGCACAACUGACGCUCAGGCACGAAAGCGUGGGUAUCGAACAGGAUUAGAUACCCCUGUAGUC